RNAcentral lists this ribosomal RNA (1107 nucleotides) under Triticum aestivum (bread wheat). Its description in RNAcentral is "partial small subunit ribosomal RNA". Lineage: Eukaryota; Viridiplantae; Streptophyta; Magnoliopsida; Poales; Poaceae. The record is from RNAcentral.
AUGGCAUUGGACGUGCUCCUCAGGCUGCUGAUCCUCGCGGCCGUCGCGAGCGCCAUGCCGGUGCCGGGCCCCACGGACCCCGCCGCCGCCGGGCUCGCCAUCGGGUUCUACAACAAGACGUGCCCGAAAGCGGAGGAGCUGGUGCUGGAGGAGAUGCGGGACAUCGUCCACGAGGACCGGACCCUCGGCCCGGCGCUGCUGCGGCUUCUCUUCCACGACUGCUUCGUCAGGGUGCGUGCUGCGCUGCUUCUUUGCCGUGCCGUGCCGCGUCGCGUGCACGGGUCGUCUGAAUGUGUUUCGCUUAACUUGAACUGGAUGCGUGGUCUGCAGGGGUGCGACGGGUCGAUCAUGCUGAAAUCGAGGAGCAAGAAGGGGGAGAGGGACGCCAUGCCGAUGAGCUACAGCCUCCGCGGCUUCGAUGAGGUCGAGAGGAUCAAGGCGAAGCUGGAGGACGAGUGCCCGCUCACCGUGUCCUGCGCAGACAUCAUCAUCAUGGCCGCGCGGGACGCCGUGUACCUGAGCAACGGGCCACGGUUCCCGGUGGAGACCGGGCGCCGGGACGGCAAGGUGUCCCUGUGCAUCGACGCCGAGAACGACCUGGCGCCGCCGCACGCCAACAUCGUGGACCUGAAAACCUACUUCAGCGUGAAGAACCUGUCGUGGAAGGACCUGGUGGUGCUGUCGGGGAGCCACACGAUCGGGAGGGCGCAGUGCGCGGCGUUCGCGCCGGACCGGCUCUACAACAACAGCGGCCUAGGGGUGCAGGACCCGACGCUGGACAAGGCGUACGCCCCGGAGCUGCGGGAGAGGUGCGAGCCAGGGAACAAGGAAGACGAAACGCUCGUCGACAUGGACCCCAAGAGCCCCUACGAGUUCGACCUCAGCUACUACCGGGACGUGCUCAGCAACAAGACCCUGUUCGUCUCCGACCAGGCGCUGCUCGACGACAGGUGGACGAGGGACUACGUGGCGAGGAUGGCGGCCGCCGAGUCGACGGAGGAGUACUUCGAGGACUACGCCGCCGCCAUGAUCAACAUGGGCAGGAUGGAGGUGCUCACCGGCGGCAACGGGGAGAUCAGGAAAUUCUGCAGCGCGUACGUUGACUAA